UAAUUAAUUUUUUUUAGUUUUGAAAACUAAUUUAAGUAUAUUUCUUGUUAAUUAA
This 55-nucleotide transfer RNA is filed under the name Radopholus similis. Its description in RNAcentral is "transfer RNA-Ser (UCN)". The record is from RNAcentral. Lineage: Eukaryota; Metazoa; Nematoda; Chromadorea; Rhabditida; Pratylenchidae.